Long non-coding RNA from Gallus gallus (chicken), 555 nucleotides. Lineage: Eukaryota; Metazoa; Chordata; Aves; Galliformes; Phasianidae. The record is from Ensembl.
AAAAGGCAGUAUAUUUUUCUUGUAUCAGAUCUGUAUGCACUAUUUAAUAAUUUCACCAAUUUAUUUAUUUACUUACUUGCCAUAGACUCUCAGUCUGUAUUCAUUUGAAUUGACUGCCACAAGGAAAACUUGUUUAAGUUCCUUUUGCCAGAUCUGAAUUCUGUUUUGCUGCUUUCCCAUUUACUGCCUCACGUGGACUAAAGACUAAGUUCUGCAAAUGCUAAUAUAGGUUCUGAACCAUAGAUGGAGAAUGAUGAGAUUUUGCAAGCAAACUCACAGGAGUCUGAACUGAAGACUGCAGAACUACAUGUCUCCUGAAAUGCAAAUGGCUUCAGCUGAGAUUCUUACGAGUGCCUAAGAGAUGAAGGAAUACUUCUAUGGCUGCAAUCCUUAGAGACUUUUUACCCCAACUGUCCACCUGAAGAAUGGAUAUAGCAUAUUUUCUUUUCAGAAGAUGCUGUGAAGAUACUUCCAUUACUGUCAUACUGAAAGUGCUGGCAGACAUGCUUCUUACGAUACUGUGUAAGUAUCUAAGAUUUCAUGAGUUUCAACCUA